CUACAAAGGAAUUGACGGGACCCGCACAAGCAGCGGAGCAUGUGGUUUUAAUUCGAAGCAACGCGAAGAACCUUUACCAGAUCUUGACAUCCAAUUGACCAUCUUUUAAUCGAGAUUUUGCCUUCGGGUACAAUUGAGCAGGUGGUGCAUGGUUGUCGUCAGCUCGUGUCGUGAGAUGUUGGGUUAAGUCCCGCAACGAGCGCAACCCUUUGUGUUUUAGUUGCAAACAGGUCAAGCUGUGCACUCUAGACAGACUGCCGUGGACAACACGGAGGAAGGUGGGGAUGACGUCAAAUCAUCAUGCCCCUUAUGAUCUGGGCUACACACGUGCUACAAUGGCCGGUACAACGGGCAGCGAAGGAGCGAUCCGGAGCGAAUCCUAAAAAGCCGGUCCCAGUUCGGAUUGCAGGCUGAAACUCGCCUACAUGAAGUUGGAGUUGCUAGUAAUCGCGAAUCAGAAUGUCGCGGUGAAUGCGUUCCCGGGUCUU
RNAcentral lists this ribosomal RNA (488 nucleotides) under uncultured Fusibacter sp. Its description in RNAcentral is "bacterial SSU rRNA". It matches the Rfam family "Bacterial small subunit ribosomal RNA", at positions 903 to 1382 of the family's 1533-position model. The record is from RNAcentral. Lineage: Bacteria; Bacillati; Bacillota; Clostridia; Eubacteriales; Fusibacteraceae.